GUGUCAGCAGCCGCGGUAAUACGGAGGACCCGAGCGUUAUCCGGAUUCAUUGGGUUUAAAGGGUGCGUAGGCGGCCCGGUCAGUCAGCGGUGAAAGGCUCCUGCUCCACAGGAGAGCUGCCGUUGAUACUGCUGGGCUAGAAUCUUAGCGAGGCGGGCGGAAUGCGCGGUGUAGCGGUGAAAUGCAUAGAUAUCGCGCAGAACGCCGAUUGGGGAGCCAGCUCGCCAGCUGAGUAUUGACGCUGAGGCACGAAAGCGUGGGGAUCAAACAGGAUUAGAAACCCCAGUAGUCC
Molecule: ribosomal RNA, 292 nt
Filed under: uncultured bacterium
Lineage: Bacteria
Description: partial 16S ribosomal RNA
Rfam family: Bacterial small subunit ribosomal RNA
Source: RNAcentral